This 32-nucleotide non-coding RNA is filed under the name Homo sapiens (human). Lineage: Eukaryota; Metazoa; Chordata; Mammalia; Primates; Hominidae. The record is from RNAcentral.
UGGAAAGUCUCAGUUCCCGGUAUCAUUCAGGA